CUACGGGUUGCUGCAGUGGGGAAUAUUGCACAAUGGAGGAAACUCUGAUGCAGCAACGCCGCGUGGAGGAUGACACUUUUCGGAGCGUAAACUCCUUUUAUAUAGGAAGAAGAUGACGGUACUAUAUGAAUAAGCGCCGGCUAACUCCGUGCCAGCAGCCGCGGUAAUACGGGGGGCGCAAGCGUUACUCGGAAUCACUGGGCGUAAAGAGCGUGUAGGCGGAUUAAAAAGUCAGAAGUGAAAUCCUAUAGCUUAACUAUAGAGCUGCUUCUGAAACUCUUAAUCUAGAAUAUGGGAGAGGUAGAUGGAAUUUCUGGUGUAGGGGUAAAAUCCGUAGAGAUCAGAAGGAAUACCGAUUGCGAAGGCGAUCUACUAGAACAUUAUUGACGCUGAGACGCGAAAGCGUGGGGAGCAAACAGGAUUAGAUACCCCGGUAGUC
Molecule: ribosomal RNA, 439 nt
Filed under: uncultured bacterium
Lineage: Bacteria
Description: partial 16S ribosomal RNA
Rfam family: Bacterial small subunit ribosomal RNA
Source: RNAcentral